This 301-nucleotide ribosomal RNA is filed under the name uncultured bacterium. RNAcentral's name for it is "partial 16S ribosomal RNA". It matches the Rfam family "Bacterial small subunit ribosomal RNA", at positions 509 to 809 of the family's 1533-position model. The record is from RNAcentral.
CAGUCGCCACGGUAAUACGAAGGGGGCUAGCGUUGCUCGGAAUGACUGGGCGUAAAGGGCGCGUAGGCGGCGAUCAAAGUCAGGCGUGAAAUUCCUGGGCUCAACCUGGGGGCUGCGCUUGAUACUUGGUUGCUUGAGUGGGGAAGAGGGUCGUGGAAUUCCCAGUGUAGAGGUGAAAUUCGUAGAUAUUGGGAAGAACACCGGUGGCGAAGGCGGCGACCUGGUCCUUGACUGACGCUGAGGCGCGAAAGCGUGGGGAGCAAACAGGAUUAGAUACCCCCGUAGUCCCUGUCUCUUAUAU